AAUCAUGACUCAGGAUUGAGACGUGGGCGGACAGGCUUGACACAUGCAAGUCGAGCGGGGGUAGCAAUACCCUAGGCGGCGAUACGGAUGAGUAAUGCUUGGGGAAUAUGCCCAGUAGUGGGGGAUAACGGUCUGAAAGGAAACGCUAAUACCGCAUACGCCCUACGGGGGAAAGCUAGGGGAUCUUCGGACCUUGCGCUAUUGGAUGAGCCCAAGUGGGAUUAGCUAGUUGGUGGGGUAAAGGCCCACCAAGGCGACGAUCCCUAGCUGGUCUGAGAGGAUGAUCAGCCACACUGGAACUGAGACACGGUCCAGACUCCUACGGGAGGCAGCAGUGGGGAAUAUUGGACAAUGGGCGAAAGCCUGAUCCAGCCAUGCCGCGUGUGUGAAGAAGGCCUUCGGGUUGUAAAGCACUUUAAGCGAGGAGGAAGGUUCGCUGGCUAAUAUCCAGCGGAAUUGACGUUACUCGCAGAAUAAGCACCGGCUAACUCUGUGCCAGCAGCCGCGGUAAUACAGAGGGUGCAAGCGUUAAUCGGAAUUACUGGGCGUAAAGCGCGCGUAGGCGGUUGUGUAAGUUGGAGGUGAAAUCCCCGGGCUUAACCUGGGCACUGCCUUCAAAACUGCACGGCUAGAGUAUGGGAGAGGAAGGUAGAAUUCCAGGUGUAGCGGUGAAAUGCGUAGAGAUCUGGAGGAAUACCGAUGGCGAAGGCAGCCUUCUGGCCUAAUACUGACGCUGAGGUGCGAAAGCAUGGGGAGCAAACAGGAUUAGAUACCCAGGUAGUCCAUGCCGUAAACGAUGUCGACUAGGUGUUGGGGAACUUGAUUCCUUAGUGCCGCAGCUAACGCAUAAGUCGACCGC
RNAcentral lists this ribosomal RNA (859 nucleotides) under uncultured bacterium. RNAcentral's name for it is "bacterial SSU rRNA". It matches the Rfam family "Bacterial small subunit ribosomal RNA", at positions 15 to 872 of the family's 1533-position model. The record is from RNAcentral.